Drosophila mojavensis is the source of this 560-nucleotide long non-coding RNA. RefSeq lists it as uncharacterized. The transcript is spliced from 2 exons. Lineage: Eukaryota; Metazoa; Arthropoda; Insecta; Diptera; Drosophilidae. The record is from RefSeq and is a predicted model, not a curated record.
CUAAAGCGUAGCCAUCGGCUUUAUAUACAGCGCGCCCAUCGCCACAAAAAAUAAAAACAAAACACUGUGCACGAGCUAUGAUUAAUAGCAGGCAACUGCUACUCACGUUGUCGUUGCCACAGAGCAAAGGCAAACACUUGGAGACCGCGCGAUUCUCUUGCGAGUCACGUUCGCAGCGAAUGAAAAAAAAAAAAAAAAAACAGCUGUUGGCUGGAAGAAAGCCGGUCAGCUGUUCGCGCGGGUCGUGUUGCCAACUACAUUCAAUUUUAAAUUAAAUUUUCCAAUAUUUCAAAAGCAAAUAGAAAACCAAUUAAAGGUAUUUAAUUUAAAAUUAUAAUUUGAUAAGAAAUACUAUAUAAAUUUAAGGUUUGUUAAUUGCUAUAUGUAUAUAGUCUACACUUAUAAAAUGUUCGAUUUAAUUUCUGGCAAACAACGCAAAGCUCCAAUGAAUUCAUAUCAAUAGAAUUUUGAUUUGUUUAUAAAUUCAUAAUUUUUUCUCAUUUCGACAUUUGCUUAAGCAAAUACAUGCAAUACACUUUAUUAUGUAUGUUUCUAUUGAA